This 23-nucleotide non-coding RNA is filed under the name Arabidopsis thaliana (thale cress). The record is from RNAcentral. Lineage: Eukaryota; Viridiplantae; Streptophyta; Magnoliopsida; Brassicales; Brassicaceae.
UCAGAGCUAGCUUUCAUGGUACA